The sequence is a transfer RNA, 72 nucleotides long. It matches the Rfam family "tRNA". From Rfam's summary of the family: Transfer RNA (tRNA) molecules are approximately 80 nucleotides in length. Their secondary structure includes four short double-helical elements and three loops (D, anti-codon, and T loops).
GCCCUUGUAGUGUAAUGGAUAGCACAUCAGGCUUCUAUCCUGAGAGUCCGGGUUCGAGUCCUGGCAAGGGCG